GCUACCAUGCAGUCGAGCGGAGAUAUAUUGAAAGCUUGCUUUUAAUAUAUUUUAGCGGCGGACGGGUGAGUAACGUGUGGGUAACCUGCCUCAUACAGUGGAAUAAUCAUGUGAAAACGUGACUAAUACCGCAUGACAAUUCUUUAAGGCAUCUUAGGGAAAGAAAAGGAGCAAUCCGGUAUGAGAUGGACCCGCAUCUGAUUAGCUAGUUGGUGAGAUAACAGCUCACCAAGGCGACGAUCAGUAGCCGACCUGAGAGGGUGAUCGGCCACAUUGGGACUGAGACACGGCCCAAACUCCUACGGGAGGCAGCAGUGGGGAAUAUUGCACAAUGGGGGGAACCCUGAUGCAGCAACGCCGCGUGAAGGAAGACGGUUUUCGGAUUGUAAACUUCUAUCAAUAGGGAAGAAAGAAAUGACGGUACCUAAAUAAGAAGCCCCGGCUAACUACGUGCCAGCAGCCGCGGUAAUACGUAGGGGGCAAGCGUUAUCCGGAAUUACUGGGUGUAAAGGGUGAGUAGGCGGCAUGACAAGUAAGAUGUGAAAGCCCGCGGCUUAACUGCGGGAUUGCAUUUUAAACUGUUGAGCUAGAGUACAGGAGAGGAAAGCGGAAUUCCCAGUGUAGCGGUGAAAUGCGUAGAGAUCGGGAGGAACACCAGUGGCGAAGGCGGCCUACUGGGCUUUAACUGACGCUGAGGCACGAAAGCAUGGGUAGCAAACAGGAUUAGAUACCCUGGUA
RNAcentral lists this ribosomal RNA (738 nucleotides) under uncultured bacterium. RNAcentral describes it as "bacterial SSU rRNA". It matches the Rfam family "Bacterial small subunit ribosomal RNA", at positions 48 to 792 of the family's 1533-position model. The record is from RNAcentral.